UUCCAGCGAAGCAGGAGGAGGAGCAGAAGGGUCUCCUUCUGUUCCUUCUCUGGCUUCGCUGAAGGGCGCUGCGCCUUCUCCCUCUCUGCGCAGCACCUCUCCUGUGAAGGAGAGGUGCUGCGCGGAGAGGGAGAAGGCGCAGCGCCCCUUGAGUGGCGCGCUUGUCCAGCGAAGCCAGAGGAGGAACAGAAGGGUCUCCUUCUGUUCCUUCUCCAGCUUCACUGAAGG
RNAcentral lists this microRNA precursor (228 nucleotides) under Podarcis lilfordi (Lilford's wall lizard). Lineage: Eukaryota; Metazoa; Chordata; Lepidosauria; Squamata; Lacertidae. The record is from RNAcentral.